GGAGAGGUGGCGGAGCUCGGUUGAACGUGCCUGACUCGAAAUCAGGUGUACCCGCAAGGGUACCGUGGGUUCGAAUCCCACCCUCUCCGCCA
RNAcentral lists this transfer RNA (92 nucleotides) under Deltaproteobacteria bacterium. Its description in RNAcentral is "tRNA-Ser". It matches the Rfam family "tRNA". From Rfam's summary of the family: Transfer RNA (tRNA) molecules are approximately 80 nucleotides in length. Their secondary structure includes four short double-helical elements and three loops (D, anti-codon, and T loops). RNAcentral also lists the same sequence under 1 other name. Lineage: Bacteria; Pseudomonadati; Myxococcota; Myxococcia. The record is from RNAcentral.